GUGAGGUGAUGACRAAGUUUAUCCAUUCUCUGAGUGCAGUGGCACUGCCCUCCUGCAGCACCCUGAUUCCUGUUCUAGGGUCUGGGUGCUGUGCGGCCUCCGGAGACCCUGCAGUCUCCCAGUGUCCUACURGGGGCUGCUGGGGCCUGUGGCUGGCUGCCUGCAGGAGUGAGGCGUGCUGGCAGGGUUGGAGCCCCCUCCGUGSGGGCUCCAUCCCCACCGAGAUGAGGGAUGAUGUCUGAUCAC
Dromaius novaehollandiae (emu) is the source of this 246-nucleotide small nucleolar RNA. NCBI's taxonomy places the organism in Eukaryota, Metazoa, Chordata, Aves, Casuariiformes, Dromaiidae. The record is from Ensembl.